Xylaria digitata is the source of this 99-nucleotide non-coding RNA. The record is from the annotation of a GenBank genome assembly. Lineage: Eukaryota; Fungi; Ascomycota; Sordariomycetes; Xylariales; Xylariaceae.
UCCGAAUUGGUGUAGUGGCCAACAUUUGACGCUCUCAUCUCUUUCCUCUGGAUGCAGAAAAGUGCCGUCAAGCCCAGGGUUCGAUUCCCCGAUUCGGAG